CGUCUAUAUACGUAUAGCAUAUCAAUAAGCGGAGGAAAAGAAACUAACAAGGAUUCCCUUAGUAACGGCGAGUGAAGCGGGAAGAGCUCAAAUUUGAAAUCUUCAAGGUUUUACCUUGACGAAUUGUAGUUUAUAAGAAGUGUUUUCUGUUAGAUGAGUAGCAAAAGUUCCUUGGAAUAGGACAUCAUAGAGGGUGAGAAUCCCGUAUUUGGUACCAUUAUUUCCAGCUUUGUGAUACACUUUCAAAGAGUCGGAUUGUUUGGGAAUGCAGUCCAAAAUGGGUGGUAAAUUUCAUCUAAAGCUAAAUAUUGGCGAGAGACCGAUAGCGAACAAGUACCGUGAGGGAAAGAUGAAAAGAACUUUGAAAAGAGAGUUAAACAGUACGUGAAAUUGUCAAAAGGGAAGCGUUUGACACCAGUGUUGUUUUCUCGAAAAUCAAUUAAAAAAGGACUGGAUUUUGUGUUGUAUUGACUUUAUCAGCUUUCUGCACUCUUUUCUUGUCUUUUUUAAUGCACUUUUCGUUUAACAAGUCAACAUCAAUUCCUUUUGUUGUAAAAGGGUCAUUGGAAGGUGGCUUUCUUUUCGGAGAAAGUGUUUAUAGCCUUUGGCCUCUGCAAUCGGAGAGAUUGAGGUCUGCAGCGUAGAUCCUUCGGGGUUAGAUACAUUUGUGCUAAGUUAUAGCCUUUCAUAGACAACUUGUUGACUAUGAUUCAGUCAUGUAGCUUACUCGCUGAUGCUAUUUUACCUACGCUUAGGAUGUUGACUGAUAUGUAGUCGUA
RNAcentral lists this ribosomal RNA (779 nucleotides) under uncultured Neocallimastigales. Its description in RNAcentral is "partial large subunit ribosomal RNA". It matches the Rfam family "Eukaryotic large subunit ribosomal RNA", at positions 26 to 644 of the family's 3401-position model. Lineage: Eukaryota; Fungi; Neocallimastigomycota; Neocallimastigomycetes; Neocallimastigales. The record is from RNAcentral.